CACCAGCACCCCGAGUGGUCGGGACGAUUAUUGGGCCUAAAGCAUCCGUAGCCGGUCAUGCAAGUCCUCCGUUAAAUCCACCUGCUUAACAGAUGGGCUGCGGAGGAUACUACAAGGCUAGGAGGCGGAAGAGGCAAGCGGUACUCAGUGGGUAGGGGUAAAAUCCUCUGAUCCAUUGAAGACCACCAGUGGCGAAGGCGGCUUGCCAAUACGCGCUCGACGGUGAGGGAUGAAAGCUGGGGGAGCAAACCGG
This 253-nucleotide ribosomal RNA is filed under the name uncultured bacterium. Its description in RNAcentral is "partial 16S ribosomal RNA". It matches the Rfam family "Archaeal small subunit ribosomal RNA", at positions 474 to 727 of the family's 1478-position model. The record is from RNAcentral.